GGAGUAUCUGCACUCCCCACAGUUUAUCCUGUAGUUUAUCCCCGAACUCAUGCUGCUCUGGCACUACAUGCAUCUGCAACCUUUGGGGACAAAACUGCAAAUGCCAACGGCUAGGCCUAAUCAGUCAGUGGCUGGGUUAAGAUCUCAAGAUGGAGGUUUCUUCUCAACAAACUGAUAUAUAUAUAUCUAUGAUACAUAUGUUUAUCGUUGUUUUUAAUCAUAUUAUUGAACAAUUUAUCUAGUUUUUGUCGUCUAUAUAAGAUGUACACUAUUUCAGCAUGAAAAUCCAAGUACAGAGAAACAAAUAACAAUACUUCGUAGAGACUGUUUUAUUUUUUUUAUUAUUAUUACGUGAUCAGAAUAUUGUUAUCUUUUCUAUUUAUCUAGUGAAUUAGUUAUUCAAAGACAGCGGUAAUGGAAAAAUUGCUAACAAACUCUCGUCUUAAAUCUUUCUUUUGAUAAAAUAUACCGCGAGGUAUUUAUGAUUAAAAGCUGUUCUAUUUCUGAAAAAUAGAAACAAAAGGGAAGUAGUUAACCUGGCUACGCAUGGGCCAACUACUGAUAUCAUCUUAGCCCUAUCUAGCCUGGGGGGGGGGGGUAAAUUAACCCCCCCCCCCAUCGUUUUUUUCGAUAACUCAAAAAGCAUUUGAGCUAGGAAGCUCAAAUCUUCUGGCUUUUCUACCUGACACAUGUCCCUAACUUGAAGCUAAAAGAUGCCUAAUUUUACCUAUACCAGACUAAAUAUCUAUUUAGACCUACUUCCAUUCACUAGAUUUCAACAUUUUAUAGCUAUUGGAAAGCCUAUAACAAAGCAAGCAGAUGGCACAAUUUUUGCAAAGACAUUUUGCACAAGUUUUUGCACAGACGCCAUUAAAGGGAAUUUGCACUCUUUCGCUUUUCUUGAACCAUUUAAGUUUAAAACAUUUUGCAAAUGUUUUUGCACAUUUAAAUUUGCUGGGUCAAGGGAUUUUCAAAAAUGAAUUAAUUCUUGCAAUUUGCGUAUUUUUUUUGGUACAUUUUUUGCCUUAUAACUAGAUUACGCAAUAAAUAUUUGGAUUUUUGUACAUUUGCCAGUUUCCUCUAUCUUUUUGGUAAUCACUACAAGGUUACAAAGGAUGAGAAAGGAUGAGACUGUAAAGAUAACUUGAAACUUAUCAAAUAUGGCUUAGUUUAAAAGUCAUAUGCCUUGAAUGUGGUCUUUAUACAGUCGUCUCUGAAUUCUCAUCCUUUGUGGGGAACCCUGUACAGUAAAAAAUGCAAAAAGAUAUCGGUAAGGCACUGAUCUUUGCAAUUGGCUGCAAUGCGGAAGAAAGUGUAAAAAAAACGGGAGAGAAAACAUAAAAAAAUGAAGGUUCUGUAUUCUGUAAAA
Molecule: long non-coding RNA, 1369 nt
Organism: Eurytemora carolleeae
Lineage: Eukaryota; Metazoa; Arthropoda; Copepoda; Calanoida; Temoridae
Exons: 2
Source: RefSeq, a predicted model, not a curated record